Long non-coding RNA from Nerophis ophidion (straightnose pipefish), 1335 nucleotides. RefSeq lists it as uncharacterized. The transcript is spliced from 8 exons. Lineage: Eukaryota; Metazoa; Chordata; Actinopteri; Syngnathiformes; Syngnathidae. The record is from RefSeq and is a predicted model, not a curated record.
CAAAUUCUAAAGUUAAUGAUUAUUUGCACCAAAAAAAUGUUUAUCAGAGUGAACAUCAAAUAUGUUGUCUUUGUAGCAUAUUCAACUGAAUAUGGCUUGAAAAUGAUUUGCAAAUCAUUGUAUUCUGUUUAUAUUUACAUCUAACACCAUUUCCCAACUCAUAUGGAAACGGGGUUUGUACUUAAUUUAAUAAUUAUUUACAUUUAUGAAAGAGUAAUUCUGUUUGUAAUUGAAUUUUUAGUCAAGUAACGACUAUUAUUAUUCCUUUUUAAAACAGAUAUUCCAAACAUUGUUAAUUGAUAAACUGUUUUAUCAGGAUAUGGUGUAUUUGCUCUUGCAUCAAUUUAAAAAGGUUCUUUUGUGGUCGAGUACCGAGGGAAGGUCAUCUCAAGACAUGAGCGGGACAAGAGACAGAAACCCUCUAUAAAUAUCUUUACUAUUUAUCUGGCAUUAUAUGCUCAUAAUGUUAACAACAAAAAGUGCUGAUAAUGUUAUAAUUAAUAAGUUCUAACAUUAUUUUUAUGUGUUUUGUUGCAGACACCAACUGUUGAUGUUGUAUCUCAACAUUCUCCAGAUUCAUGUGAGCGAUAAACCGACUUCAUCCCUCCAACAGACACCAACUGUUGGGGUUCUAUCUCAACAUUCUCCAGAUUCAGAUGUGAGCGAUAAACCGACUUCAUCCCUCCAACAGAAACCAACUGUUGAGGUUCCAUCUCAACAUUCUCCGGAUUCAGAUGUGAGCCAUUAACUGACUUCAUCCCUCCAACAGAAACCAACUGUUUGAGGUUCUAUCUCAACAUUCUCUAGAUUCAGAUGACAGCCAUAAACCGACUUCAUCCCUCCAACAGAAACCAACUGUUGAGGUUCCAUCUCAACAUUCUCCGGAUUCAGAUGUGAGCCAUUAACUGACUUCAUCCCUCCAACAGAAACCAACUGUUUGAGGUUCUAUCUCAACAUUCUCUAGAUUCAGAUGACAGCCAUAAACCGACUUCAUCCCUCCAACAGAUUGACAGCAGGACAAAUCGCUGGAAGUGGGUAUGUCUCAAGCUUCUUCCACUUGGUCCACUCCAAAGCGGGCUGCAAAGGGGAAGAAGUGGAAGCAGUUGAAUGACACAUGUUGCAUUUUGUAACUGGCAACAAAGUACCAGGUAAAAAAGAUUGUGAAGCCUGCCUCCAUAAAGAACUAGUAGCUCUACAGGACAGAGAUUGGCUUGCCAUCAAGUACUACAUCCAUAACAGAAUUAUAUUAAAAAAAGGGAAAAAAAAUGUUUUCCCACAUCUUCUGUGGUAGUUUGAGUAUGUUACCAGCAAUUAAAAAAGCAAAAUAAACAGCAA